GCCCCGGUAGUGUAGUCGGUUAAGCAUUCGACCCUCUCAAGGUCGCGACCCGGGUUCGAAUCCCGGCUGGGGCA
Molecule: transfer RNA, 74 nt
Filed under: Microcaldota archaeon
Lineage: Archaea; Nanobdellati; Microcaldota
Description: tRNA-Glu
Rfam family: tRNA
About the family: Transfer RNA (tRNA) molecules are approximately 80 nucleotides in length. Their secondary structure includes four short double-helical elements and three loops (D, anti-codon, and T loops).
Source: RNAcentral